GGCUUUAUUAUAAAUGGUUAAAACACGACCUACAGAAACUAGGCAAAGUACUCAAAAUAUAAAGAUAAAUAAGUUGAAAUUCUUACUCUUGGUUAAAGGGUAAAACAUAUCCAUAAUUAGAAAAUUACAUUCUGCCAAGUAAAAUAUAGAUAAACAUAGAGGAGAAACAUCUAACACAUUAAACCUUACUGGAGGAUAUGACAUUCCUCCCUGGAGGAUAUGACAUUCCUCCAACGUGGCAAAAAGAUUCCUGGUAGAACAGCAGAGACAGAAAGAUGGAGAUGGGACACAGCAUUGGUUUCUGGAAGUUAAGUGUGGACCAGUGCUGGAAGUACUUGGAAGAAGUAAAAGGGAUGGAUAAUGGACAACUUUUCACGCUUCCCUGUUAUCUCAUUUAAUUUUCUCCACUUAUAAGAAGACCAGCUUCACAUGUUAUCAUGGCUAUUUCACAGAUUAGAAAACUUUUGAGCAACAGUAACAACAAUAAAAAAGAACACUAGAUUCUAAGAAGAUAGAUCUGAAUACUUCAGAUUAAAGAGUAAAUAACUGGAGGUGAGGUUGAGAAUGGGAAGAAAGCAGAAAUACAAAAUAAUAGAGUGAUGAUCACAUCCCAUGGAAAAGGAGAGAGACUGGGCUGAUGGCCGGAGAGGUAUAUGGUCAAGGGAGAUAUUUUGCUUUAUUUCAUUUACAUAUGUCUUUAUACUGAAGCUUAAAGCAAGGAGGAAAUAGAAGGUACUGAAGAAAAAUAAUGAUUAGGAGAAGAGACUAGAAAAUAAGAGAGAAUGAGACAAAGGAAAAGCUAAGAUGAUUUUUUAAGCACUUCAGUUCUUUCCUCCCAAUAUAUGACUAUUUCUAUCAAAUACAAAGAUGUUACGCAAUUUGAAAAAUAUUUUUCAGUUUUGGCAUAUAUCUGCAAAAAGGAUGUUAUCUUCAAGAAUCAUACGUCUUUUGAAAAAUGUUUCCAAGUGAUUGUUCCUGAUGCUGCUCUGAUCAAAAAUCAGGUUUGGAUGAAUGAAAAGGACAUUCAUGAGAGACUCCAGAAGAACCAGGCCUUUUCAGUGAAAGUAAACAACUUACGGAAUAAAGACGAGUGUAGAUCUGCUCUGACAAUGAUUAAAGGAAAGAAGACAUAUUGAUCUACUUUUAGCUCAGAAUUCAUGCAAGAAAUAAGUUUUUGUACUAAAAUGGUUUUAAAGUGCCCCUCUCUCUGCUAGAGUGAACAGAGAAUGCUGAAAGCCACAAGAAAAGGCAUUCACCAAAGAGAACAGAGCCAGGAGAGAGCCUCUGGGAAAGAGAAGGCUUUAGAGACAUCGUUUUAACUUGGCAGUAAAGCAAACAAGCAACAUAGCCACAGGACUGUUGGAGUGCGACAAUGUUUUCUCUAGAAAUAAACACUCAAGUCUUAAGGAUUUGUUU
This 1416-nucleotide long non-coding RNA is filed under the name Homo sapiens (human). RNAcentral describes it as "HSALNT0069467". The record is from RNAcentral. Lineage: Eukaryota; Metazoa; Chordata; Mammalia; Primates; Hominidae.